This 253-nucleotide ribosomal RNA is filed under the name uncultured bacterium. Its description in RNAcentral is "partial 16S ribosomal RNA". It matches the Rfam family "Bacterial small subunit ribosomal RNA", at positions 524 to 776 of the family's 1533-position model. The record is from RNAcentral.
UACGUAGGCAGCGAGCGUUGUUCGGAGUUACUGGGCGUAAAGGGUGUGUAGGCGGUUGUUUAAGUUUGGUGUGAAAUCUCCCGGCUCAACCGGGAGGGUGCGCCGAAUACUGAAUGACUCGAGUGCGGGAGAGGAGAGUGGAAUUCCUGGUGUAGCGGUGAAAUGCGUAGAUAUCAGGAGGAACACCGGUGGUGUAGACGGCUCUCUGGACCGUAACUGACGCUGAGACACGAAAGCGUGGGUAGCAAACAGG